CGUCUAAUCAAGGUUUAGUGAGCUAAACUCACCGGAUUAGUGAGCCGAGCGGACCAAAACGACGAGGGCAACGCGAGGAUCGACUUUCCUCAAAGCGGGCCGAGCAUCCGGGCUCGGGAAGGCGGACAAAACGGCCCACGAAGGGGCUGCCAUACCCAUUUUCUUGGCUGCUGUCCACUGCGAUUUGAGGCCGAGGAAGGGCGGAUCCGGGGCCGGCUUAGGUCGGAAACGAGCGGAGGAGCUGCGGCGGUGCUGCACGGCCAACGGCGGGGCCUCACGGUGGCGGAGACGAGCUCCGGCAGCUCUUGCGCG
RNAcentral lists this long non-coding RNA (312 nucleotides) under Eucalyptus grandis. RNAcentral's name for it is "long non-coding RNA (EGRA_LNC005042)". Lineage: Eukaryota; Viridiplantae; Streptophyta; Magnoliopsida; Myrtales; Myrtaceae. The record is from RNAcentral.